Molecule: ribosomal RNA, 497 nt
Filed under: uncultured bacterium
Lineage: Bacteria
Description: partial 16S ribosomal RNA
Rfam family: Bacterial small subunit ribosomal RNA
Source: RNAcentral
GAUGAACGCUGGCGGCGUGCCUAAUACAUGCAAGUCGAGCGAACGGACGAGAAGCUUGCUUCUCUGAUGUUAGCGGCGGACGGGUGAGUAACACGUGGAUAACCUACCUAUAAGACUGGGAUAACUUCGGGAAACCGUAGCUAAUACCGGAUAAUAUUUUGAACCGCAUGGUUCAAAAGUGAAAUACGGUCUUGCUGUCACUUAUAGAUGGAUCCGCGCUGCAUUAGCUAGUUGGUAAGGUAACGGCUUACCAAGGCAACGAUGCAUAGCCGACCUGAGAGGGUGAUCGGACACACUGGAACUGAGACACGGUCCAGACUCCUACGGGAGGCAGCAGUAGGGAAUCUUCCGCAAUGGGCGAAAGCCUGACGGAGCAACGCCGCGUGAGUGAUGAAGGUCUUCGGAUCGUAAAACUCUGUUAUUAGGGAAGAACAUAUGUGUAAGUAACUGUGCACAUCUUGACGGUACCUAAUCAGAAAGCCACGGCUAACUACGUG